RNAcentral lists this ribosomal RNA (497 nucleotides) under uncultured bacterium. RNAcentral's name for it is "partial 16S ribosomal RNA". It matches the Rfam family "Bacterial small subunit ribosomal RNA", at positions 28 to 507 of the family's 1533-position model. The record is from RNAcentral.
GAUGAACGCUGGCGGCGUGCCUAAUACAUGCAAGUCGAGCGAACGGACGAGAAGCUUGCUUCUCUGAUGUUAGCGGCGGACGGGUGAGUAACACGUGGAUAACCUACCUAUAAGACUGGGAUAACUUCGGGAAACCGGAGCUAAUACCGGAUAAUAUUUUGAAACGCAUGGUUCAAAAGUGAAAGACGGUCUUGCUGUCACUUAUAGAUGGAUCCGCGCUGCAUUAGCUAGUUGGUAAGGUAACGGCUUACCAAGGCAACGAUGCAUAGCCGACCUGAGAGGGUGAUCGGCCACACUGGAACUGAGACACGGUCCAGACUCCUACGGGAGGCAGCAGUAGGGAAUCUUCCGCAAUGGGCGAAAGCCUGACGGAGCAACGCCGCGUGAGUGAUGAAGGUCUUCGGAUCGUAAAACCCUGUUAUUAGGGAAGAACAUAUGUGUAAGUAACUGUGCACAUCUUGACGGUACCUAAUCAGAAAGCCACGGCUAACUACGUG